AGGGAGAAUCAUUGGAAGGUUGUAAAAAUUAUCCUUAAGUAUUUGAGAAAUACUAAAAACUAGUAGCUCAUUUAUGAAAAAUCUGACUUGAAACUUAUAGAGUUUACAGGCUUCAAUUUUCAGUUUUAUCCUAAACGGUGGAGUAAUAUACUGAAAAAUUUUCAAGCAGCACACCAUGGCCGACUAGUAUACGAAGCGAAAUACAUCAUGG
RNAcentral lists this long non-coding RNA (211 nucleotides) under Elaeis guineensis (African oil palm). RNAcentral's name for it is "long non-coding RNA (EGUI_LNC066771)". The record is from RNAcentral. Lineage: Eukaryota; Viridiplantae; Streptophyta; Magnoliopsida; Arecales; Arecaceae.